GAAUUUGAAGCGAUUAAUUGCAAUUAGUUUCGACCUAAUCUUAGAUGUCAUUCAUCCUAAUUCU
This 64-nucleotide transfer RNA is filed under the name Bittacus planus. Its description in RNAcentral is "tRNA-Arg". The record is from RNAcentral. Lineage: Eukaryota; Metazoa; Arthropoda; Insecta; Mecoptera; Bittacidae.